CCACAUGCGCACGAAAGUUCUGGAACAACCGGAAGGAAGUAAAGGCACAGAAGAGGGAGAAGAGGACGACACAAGCAAAGCAUUCAAUUGGAAGGAGAUGAAGACAUCAAGUCAAUUUAUGGUUUUAUCCCAAUGGAUUGAUUCGGAGGCGAAACAGCAAAAGCAUAUCGCCACAGCAAGCCAUCCUCUUCAACUCAUCAGCCACCUUCAGACAAAAGGAAGUUGGUUUGGAUGUUCAGGAGCACUCGAGGAACCACCGAGAUGUUUAAGAAAGUAGCUCCUGCACCAAAAGUGACACCUUCAAGUUCAUCGGAUGAGUCGAGAAGUUGACCAAACCAGACCUGAAUGAACCUCUGCUUUAAGAUGCUACAAGUAAAGGUCUGAUGUUUCAUGGAUGUUCGGCACAAAUGCUUGAAUAAUGAAGGAGCUCCGUCCUAAACACCAUGAACCCAAGGUGUCAAAACGAUGSAGGAAAAGUGACGCAUGAGGGGAAUGGACCUGCAUGGUAGCAGGAAACACAUGGUAAAUAUUUUUUAAUUUCCCAGAGCUGGAUGUUAGUGGACGUGUGUGACUCAGUCAUAUCUGCUCUCUUACAUGAUAUAAAUAAUUGA
Long non-coding RNA from Austrofundulus limnaeus, 611 nucleotides. RefSeq lists it as uncharacterized. The record is from RefSeq and is a predicted model, not a curated record. Lineage: Eukaryota; Metazoa; Chordata; Actinopteri; Cyprinodontiformes; Rivulidae. The transcript is spliced from 5 exons.